GCCAGGUGAGGUGGCACACACCUGUAAUCCCAGCUGCUUGGGAGGCUGAGGCAGGAGGAUUGUAAAUUCAAAGCCAGCCUCAG
RNAcentral lists this small RNA (83 nucleotides) under Marmota monax (woodchuck). Lineage: Eukaryota; Metazoa; Chordata; Mammalia; Rodentia; Sciuridae. The record is from RNAcentral.